UUUCCGUCAAAGAAAAAUCGGUUUUUAGGCUUCCCAUCAGGGAUUUUGUAAAUGGCAAACCAGUCUCGCGUACAAGGUAAUAGCCUUGGCAUCAAGUUCUGAACAUCAGAAAUAUCUAAGAAAGUUAGCUGUCCAUAAUAUUUCAAUCAUGAAAAGCAAUAGGUUACACGUACCAUUAAGUAGUUUGGCACGAGGGUCGUUGAUAUCUAUGGCAAGGAUUUUCCAAUCUGUUUCUCCCUGAUCGAUAAGACCCAAUGCACCGAGAACUUUUACUUGCUUGAUUUGCCCAAUGUAGCCGAUUGAACCUCCUAUCUCGCACACAUCCAAGGGAUCACCAUCUCCUUUCAUCUUCGUUCUUGAAUCUAUUACGUUCGGAUCCUCCCAUGUCUGUGGGAGCGCGCCGUAAUUCCAAAUGAAACCAUGGUAAGGAAAGGAAUUGGCAACAUAACGCAGCUUUCCAUUUUUUAGAUCCUGCUUGAUGGGAUGAAAGGGAGAAGUUAACGAAAUUUCACAUUUUGCUUGAGUCCAACGGGGAAUUUCAGUAACCUAGUUGAAAAAAAUUGUUAGUGCUGUCAUACUCCGCAGCGAUAAUGAAAAGGAUAUAUAACUAAUUGGCAACAAAAACCUCAAAAUUCAAUGAGUUACUAUACACACCAUAUUAAAUGUGUCCUUAUCAGAUGUCAAUGGGACAUCAUGGAAGAAUGAAAUUGGUUUAUUGUUUUUAUAGCAAUACACGCGAAAGUCCGGCGUAUUUAGUUUUCCAGUGAUUUUCGACCGAAAUUGAAGAAUAUUUUUAGCAAGGGAAGCCAUGGGAAAUUUUUCUAUUACCAAGCUCAUCAAUCAACUCUCUAGUUGAACUCACCGACUAAAGUAAUACACCAUCUAUCAUCUAAACUGUUUCUACCACAUUAUGAAGUAUAAAGCGCUGAAGGUUGCAAUCCGUUAAGGAUUUAACCGUACAUGUAACAACAUCAUUAAAUAUACAAUCAGAGUGAAAGGGCAUUUUAGGGCGGAAGAACUUGGAUAAAAGUAAAACGUACGUAUGGAUUAGCAGGCACUGAAUAGACUACAAAUAUCUCAAUUUAUUUAUAAAAAUCAGGAAUGAUAUUCAUUCAUAAUCUAUCUAUACAUUUAGAAAAACCAAGGGGACUUUAAAAUGCAAUCAAUUGUGAUUCAUUAUUAAUUUAUAAAAUAAUAAACAUUUAACAGACAGGAUUUUCAACCAUUGAACGGUACUCUUUACUCUACAGUUAUCUCAGCUGAAAAGAAUUUAC
Molecule: non-coding RNA, 1274 nt
Organism: Schizosaccharomyces pombe (fission yeast)
Lineage: Eukaryota; Fungi; Ascomycota; Schizosaccharomycetes; Schizosaccharomycetales; Schizosaccharomycetaceae
Source: the annotation of a GenBank genome assembly